Molecule: ribosomal RNA, 308 nt
Filed under: uncultured bacterium
Lineage: Bacteria
Description: partial 16S ribosomal RNA
Rfam family: Bacterial small subunit ribosomal RNA
Source: RNAcentral
GAGACAGCAGUCGCCACGGUAAUACGAAGGGUGCAAGCGUUAAUCGGAAUUACUGGGCGUAAAGCGUGCGUAGGCGGUUUGUUAAGUCUGCUGUGAAAUCCCCGGGCUCAACCUGGGAAUGGCAGUGGAUACUGGCAAGCUAGAGUGUGUCAGAGGAUGGUGGAAUUCCCGGUGUAGCGGUGAAAUGCGUAGAGAUCGGGAGGAACAUCAGUGGCGAAGGCGGCCAUCUGGGACAACACUGACGCUGAGGCACGAAAGCGUGGGGAGCAAACAGGAUUAGAUACCCGCGUAGUCCCUGUCUCUUAUAC